Molecule: long non-coding RNA, 726 nt
Filed under: Rattus norvegicus (Norway rat)
Lineage: Eukaryota; Metazoa; Chordata; Mammalia; Rodentia; Muridae
Description: long non-coding RNA NONRATT004234
Source: RNAcentral
AAAGCUGGGGCCAUGAAAGCUACAGUGGAAGUCACAAACGGAAGAGGAGAUCUCAUAGCAGUACGCAGGAGAAUAGGCAUUGUAAACCACAUCAUCAGUUUAAAGACACUGAUUGUCACUAUUUAGAAGCAAGAUGCUUGAAUGAGAGAGAUUAUCGGGAUCGGAGAUACAUUGAUGAAUACAGAAAUGACUACUGUGAAGGAUAUGUUCCAAGACAUUACCAUAGAGACAUUGAAAGCACUUACCGGAUCCAUUGCAGUAAAUCCUCAGUCAGAAGCAGGAGAAGCAGCCCUAAAAGAAAACGUAACAGACACUGUGCGAGUCAUCAGUCACAUUCGGUAUGAGUGAUUUGUUUUUAUUUGAAUGGAUUGAUCGUAAAGCUCUAAAAGAGUGAUAAGUUUCUAAAAGUUGCUUAAUGCAAUUUGGAUAUGCUGUAAUUAUAUUCAUGUUACUUGAAUCCUUAAAGGAAAUGUACACGUUCUCAUAAUUGACCACCUGUGUAUUAUUUAGUCUUCAUUUUGCCCACACACUCAUUCUGCAAAACAGAUCAUGAGUUUGUUGGUUUUAAUAGUAAGAACAUCUUAUUUUGUGGUUGUAUAGUGUAUUAAAAAAUGAGGCACCCAUUUUUUCUUCUAUGAACGUAAAGUUUUUUUUUAUUUUGAAAGAAACUGCUUUACUGGUAGUUGGAAACAACUCAGGCAAGUCACGCUGCUGGGGUGUUUAGCU